GAUGAACGCUGGCGGCGUGCCUAAUACAUGCAAGUCGAGCGAACAGACGAGGAGCUUGCUCCUCUGACGUUAGCGGCGGACGGGUGAGUAACACGUGGAUAACCUACCUAUAAGACUGGGAUAACUUCGGGAAACCGGAGCUAAUACCGGAGAAUAUAUUGAACCGCAUGGUUCAAUAGUGAAAGACGGUUUUGCUGUCACGUAUAGAUGGAUCCGCGCCGCAUUAGCUAGUUGGUAAGGUAACGGCUUACCAAGGGAACGAUGGGUAGCCGAACUGAGAGGGUGAUCGGCCACACUGGAACUGAGCCACCGUCCAGACUCCUACGGGAGGCAGCAGUCGGGAACCUUCCGCAAUGGGCGAAAGCCUGACGGAGCAACGCCGCGUGAGUGAUGACGGUCUUCGGAUCGUAAAACUCUGUUAUUAGGGAAGAACAAAUGUGUAAGUAACUAUGCACGUCUUGACGGUACCUAAUCAGAAAGCCACGGCUAACUACGUG
This 497-nucleotide ribosomal RNA is filed under the name uncultured bacterium. RNAcentral's name for it is "partial 16S ribosomal RNA". It matches the Rfam family "Bacterial small subunit ribosomal RNA", at positions 28 to 507 of the family's 1533-position model. The record is from RNAcentral.